This 468-nucleotide ribosomal RNA is filed under the name uncultured bacterium. RNAcentral describes it as "partial 16S ribosomal RNA". It matches the Rfam family "Bacterial small subunit ribosomal RNA", at positions 28 to 507 of the family's 1533-position model. The record is from RNAcentral.
GACGAACGCUGGCGGCGUGCUUAACACAUGCAAGUCGAACGGAAAGGCCCUGCUUUUGUGGGGUGCUCGAGUGGCGAACGGGUGAGUAACACGUGAGUAACCUGCCCUUGACUUUGGGAUAACUUCAGGAAACUUGGGCUAAUACCGGAUAGGAGCUCCUGCUGCAUGGUGGGGGUUGGAACGUUUCGGCGGUUGGGGAUGGACUCGCGGCUUAUCAGCUUGUUGGUGGGGUAGUGGCUUACCAAGGCUUUGACGGGUAGCCGGCCUGAGAUGGUGACCGGCUACAUUGGUACUGAGAUACGGCCCAGACUCCUACGGGAGGCAGCAGUGGGUAAUAUUGCACCAUGGGCGGAAGCCUGAUGCAGCAACGCCGCGUGCGGGAUGACGGCCUUCCGGUUGUAAACCGCUUUCGCCUGUGACGAAGCGUGAGUGACGGUAAUGGGUAGAGAAGCACCGGCUAACUACGUG